UACGUAGGGGGCAAGCGUUAUCCGGAAUGACUGGGUGUAAAGGGAGCGUAGACGGCGGUACAAGUCGGAUGUGAAAGGCAGGGGCUCAACCCCUGGAGGGCAUUGGAAACUGUACGGCUGGAGUGUCGGAGAGGUAAGCGGAAUUCCUAGUGUAGCGGUGAAAUGCGUAGAUAUUAGGAGGAACACCAGUGGCGAAGGCGGCUUACUGGACGAUCACUGACGUUGAGGCUCGAAAGCGUGGGGAGCAAACAGG
Molecule: ribosomal RNA, 253 nt
Filed under: uncultured bacterium
Lineage: Bacteria
Description: partial 16S ribosomal RNA
Rfam family: Bacterial small subunit ribosomal RNA
Source: RNAcentral